This 500-nucleotide ribosomal RNA is filed under the name uncultured bacterium. Its description in RNAcentral is "partial 16S ribosomal RNA". It matches the Rfam family "Bacterial small subunit ribosomal RNA", at positions 30 to 523 of the family's 1533-position model. The record is from RNAcentral.
AUUGAACGCUGGCGGCAUGCCUUACACAUGCAAGUCGAACGGCAGCACGGGAGCAAUCCUGGUGGCGAGUGGCGAACGGGUGAGUAAAGUAUCGGAACGUGCCCAGUCGUGGGGGAUAACGUAGCGAAAGUUACGCUAAUACCGCAUACGAUCUAUGGAUGAAAGCGGGGGAUCGCAAGACCACGCGCGAUUGGAGCGGCCGAUAUCAGAUUAGGUAGUUGGUGGGGUAAGGGCUCACCAAGCCGACGAUCUGUAGCUGGUCUGAGAGGACGACCAGCCACACUGGGACUGAGACACGGCCCAGACUCCUACGGGAGGCAGCAGUGGGGAAUUUUGGACAAUGGGCGAAAGCCUGAUCCAGCCAUGCCGCGUGCAGGAUGAAGGCCUUCGGGUUGUAAACUGCUUUUGUACGGAACGAAAAGGUUUGGCCUAAUAAGCUGAGCUCAUGACGGUACCGUAAGAAUAAGCACCGGCUAACUACGUGCCAGCCGCCGCGGUAA